UCUGGUCGCUUUUGUUCCCGCAGAUUUGCGCGGAGCCUUGUUUUUGGGGGAAAGCCAGGAGCUGGGCCUUCCUGCUUUAUUCCUGAGCAGUAUCCCGGGAAGGUGGCGGCUGUCUAGAAAGAGCUUCUGGAGCGGGGCUCUGGAAACCCGCGUUCCAAUUCCCUAUCUGCCCCUGCUGAGCUGUGUGACCUUGGGCAAGUCACUUGGCCUCUCUGAGCCCUGGGCGCCUACCCGGAACAAUGAGGGUAAUAAUAACCACCACAGGGGGCUUGUGAGAAGGUGGUGAGCUCACAGAGGGCCGGCACCUGCAUUUUUUAGGCGGCCUGCCUGCCUGGGGGUGGGGUGAUGGGAGGAGUAAGUCUUCUCCAAAAACCUUGACCAGAGGAGACUAUCCGUCGCCUAUCAUCAGUCCAUCUUCUUUCAACGGGCCACCUCCUCGGCCUGUGGGACAGAGAAAAUGCAAACACAUGGGCCAAGGGUCAGAGAGAACCUGGCAGGAAGUACCAGAGGGUUGCAGCCACUGCCCCGGGAAUUUGCAUCGGCCCGUACUGUGGUUGGGGGAAGGGGAGCCCCGUGGCGUCCCACCUCUUGAUCCCACAACUUCAGGAUCCUCCACUUCUAGAAACUCAGGACCGAGCGAGGCAUGUUUCCCAGGAGCCAUCCCAGGGCUCUCGUCAGGCUGGGAGAAGAGGCAUGGAGUUAGAGCCAGGUGGCUUCCAGCAGCACAGGUGCCGUCGGGGGACUGUUGGGUGCCCCCCACAACCAGUGACUGAGUUACUCCUUGUUUUCUUGGGCCUUGUUCUUUUAUGGGAUUCCAAGGAAGUGGUCACAUUCCAAAAUCUAAGAUCUGAGUAAGCACAGGAACAACUUGUCCUCUUGACAAAGGAGGCCCCCCUGAGUGGACGCAUCUUGGACCUUCUCACUGUCGGAGGCUUCUCAAGCCCAGCCCCAGGGGCACCAUGCACACCUGGAUUCCAGUCCCAGCUCUGGCCUGGCCACUCAUUCAACCCCUCUGAGCCUCAGUUUGCUCAUCUGUGAAAGAGAGCCAGGAACCAGUGGCCAGCUGCGGCAGAAGUCAGAGUGCUGACCAGAGUCUCUGCGACCUGAGAGGGCAGAGGCCUGCCUGCAGGACCCCUGGUCCAGGUCCACCCAGCUCCCAACGCCUUCUUGUUAAUUCUUGCUGUGCAGUUUGAUAUUUAAUGUCAAACUGAGAUGAAUAGCAUCCCCCCAAAUUCCUUGUCCACCUGGAACCUGGGACCUGACCUUGUUUGGAAACAAGGUCUGUGUGAAUGUAAUUAAGGUAAGGAUCAGGAAUACAGUGGAUUAGCAAAGGCUGGAGAUUCAAAGGGACUCUUCUUACAAGAGACAGAAAAGAACCUGCAGAGAUUUAGGGGGAAGGCCACUUGAAGACAGAGGCAGAGAUUGGAGCCAAGGGGUCGUCGAUGCCCAGGCCACCGUGCACCCCAAGAGGCAGGAAGGGUCUUGCAGAACCUUCAGGGGGAACUCAGCCUGCUCACACCUUGGCUUUGGACUCCUGGCCUCCAGAGCUCUGUGGAAGGGUGAAUCCUUUAUUUUAAGCUCCCCCCCCCACUUCUUUGCGAUCUUUCUUUAGAGCACCCACAGGAAACCAAUUCAGUGUCAUAUCCCCCUAAACUUCAGUUCGGCUCCACUUAAUUCAGCUCAUAAUGGAUAUUAAAUCCUUACCCUCCAAGAUCAGACCUCUCUAUUUCAGGUUUGGGGGUCUUGGAAGGUAGGUUGCACACGGAUGGGAGAUGACCACCUCAACUCCUUGCCUGAGACCAUUCGUCCAUCAGCUUCUCCUCAGGAAAAGGGUGGAUGGCCUUGAGUCUCUGGAUGCUGGUGCCAGGUGCCAAAUGCCAGCCCUGCAGCCCAGGUCUCCAUCCCCAACAGCCCCUGCCACUGGGGCUCUGGGGCUCUCUCUCACCCAGCUCUGCACAUGCACAAGGUGACCCCUGACUGUUUCAGCAUUUCCCCACCUGCUGCCCCUUCUGCAGAAGCCACUGGCGUUGUGGAGGGCUUGGGGAUCCUGGGCUGAGACAGAGGGCCCUGGGCUCGGGCCCAGGUCAGAAGGUGUGCACACCUCCAAGCCAGUUCUGGGAAAGCAGGGCUGCAAGGAGAGGGAGGGGGCUGGGUGUGCAGAAGGGAGCACACUGCGUUGAGUUCAUUGGGCAUUCGGGCCCCAGCUGCCCUGGGCCUGACUGGGCAGGGGGCUGUGCUGACAGGACAGGAGCCCCUGUCCUCAGAGCAUGAUCUAAUCUAGGGCAGCCAGAUAUGUCUAUCUGCAUCUUUUUUAAGUGGACACGAUAUCUUCACCUUAUUUUUAUGUGGUGCUGAGGAUCGAACCCAGCGCCCCGCGCAUGCCAGGCGAGCGCACUACCGCUUGAGCCACAUCCCCAGCCCCUAUCUGCAUCUUUAGUCCUUGGCUACCUCUGGGCACAAGACUGUGGGGAGAAGGGGGAACUGUCCCUUCCAUAGGCUGGAAUGCAAUAUAACUUGCUUUAUUUUUGAGAGCAGAAGCCACAAGUUCACCCAGAUGAUUAUUUUAUAACAAAGGCAUGACACAUAUGUAUGGGGUUGCUUCUGGUAUCUGAACUGACAGUUCUUACUCUGAUGGUUGCAGGUGAUGACCAGGAGGGACUAUAAAUCAAUCAUCCUACUGUUCCAAAGUGCAGAGUCCUUCCCUGACACCAACACCUUGUUUCUCCUCUAACUGGUCAGAGUCCAGCCCAGGAGGAAACCUGGGGAGGCCCAGUGGGGACUGGGACAAGAGAGGCAGAGUUGAGAUCAGUGCCCUGUGAACAUGGUGUCCAUCAUGCUCCCUGGAGGACAUGGGGAAGCUCCCUGCACAGAUUGCUACUGAAUUUUCCUGGGGUGCAUCCUCAGGGUGUGACCCCUGGGGAUCCCUCUUUCCCACGGCCUACACCCUGCUCUGUGAUGAUUCUCGUUCCCUGCCUGGGCUCCUGGCCCCUCGUGUGGUCACCACCUUGACAUACAGCAGGUCCCGUUGCCUCCAUCCUUAUUCCCAUUUUAUGGGUGUGGAGCGGUCAAGGAAUUUGCUCAGGCCAUGCUGUCUGCUCAUGUUGGAACUGGAGCCUGACCUAGGUCAAUGAUCCACAGACUCUGUCCCUCCCGAAGGAAAUCACAAACAGGACACAUGGUUCAUUUGCUAUUUCUGCAAACUGGAGACUCCAAAGGUGUCUUAUUGGUGCCAGUUUUUCUAGCCAUGAUUAUUGACAAAGUCCACCUGCAGUCAUAAUUGGGCAAUUGUCCCCAAGUGAUGCCAAGCCCUGAUUUCCACCAGUGACAGUUUUAUCCACAGCAGUCUGGGGUGUCUAGUGUUGGGCUGGAUGCCAUUUGUCUCCAGUGGGCAUCAUCUGGGCUCUUUAAAAUCGAGAAUCCUAAGCUGAUCCCAGAGAAGGAGGGGCGCUCCCUGCAGUUCGAGCCUUGGAAUCUGCAUUUGCGCUAGCAACCUGGUGGUCCUGACACACACGUGUGACAGCAGCUCUUGGGGCAUGGCUCUGCUGCUUCCAGCCCCCUAGGCUGCUUUAAUUAACAACAGCAAUCAUGAUAGUAAUUAGAGUUUCCUGUAUACAUGGUGGGCCUGAUUACAGAUGGGGAGUGGAGGCUGAGCAAGGGUAAACCAUCAACCCGAGGCCACCAGCCGGUGGCUCUGACUUUCACCAUGGCAUGCGGCAGACCCAGCUGUGGUGGGUGCCUGUGGCUCCUCAUAUGUCCCUGCUUCUUGCACCACAGCAAAGGUGUCCUCUGACAGUCAACAGGCGAUCCACUGUGCUCCGCGUCCAGUGGUCUGUUUAACUUUCCUUUUUAUUAUAGAAAAUUCCAAACAUGCCCCAAAGGUAAGGAGCAGCAUGGUGACCCCUCACCACGGGGCAGCUUCAGCAGGGACAAGAUCGGUUUUAGAGCCCAGACCAUGCAAGGAAGCCCAGUUGGCCCAAGCCCUGCCCUGGCAGCCCUCCUAUGUCCACCGGGCGCGCUAGGGCCGCAGGUGUGAGCUCCAGCAGACCCAGAGGACAGUCCCCUCCACUGUGAUCCUGCUCCUACUUGUAUCACACAUUUUCUUUCUGAAGUAUUUUCAAGUAAAUAAGUUAGGGGUUUAAAAACCUA
This is a long non-coding RNA of Marmota monax (woodchuck), 4146 nucleotides long. RefSeq lists it as uncharacterized. NCBI's taxonomy places the organism in Eukaryota, Metazoa, Chordata, Mammalia, Rodentia, Sciuridae. The record is from RefSeq and is a predicted model, not a curated record. The transcript is spliced from 2 exons.